Molecule: ribosomal RNA, 201 nt
Filed under: uncultured bacterium
Lineage: Bacteria
Description: partial 16S ribosomal RNA
Rfam family: Bacterial small subunit ribosomal RNA
Source: RNAcentral
GCCUCCCUCCGCCGCCACUCAGACUCCUACGGACGGCGAGCAGGUGGGGAAGUAGUUGCGCAAUGGCGAAGCCUGACGCAGCGACGCCGCGGUCGGGGGAGUGGAAUGCUUCGGUCGUAACCCUUCAGCAGGACGAAGCGAGAGUGACGGUACCUGCAGAAGAAGCGCCGGCUAACUACGUGCCAGCAGCCGCGGUAAUAC